RNAcentral lists this long non-coding RNA (740 nucleotides) under Homo sapiens (human). Its description in RNAcentral is "HSALNT0057043". Lineage: Eukaryota; Metazoa; Chordata; Mammalia; Primates; Hominidae. The record is from RNAcentral.
GCUUCUGUGCGCGGGUUGGGUGAUGAUUGAGGACAGUGAUCAGCCUUGCUUAGCGCUUCACCCCUUGCCCCGGGGAAAGCUGGAUGAGGGAUCUCCGGGCUCCUAGACUAAGUGUGGGUUGUCCCGGAACCGCCUGUACCCACUCCGAGUUGAUUUAUUACGGUCCCAUUGCUGUUAGUAUUUUUGUUGUUGUUGUUGUUGUUGUUUGUUUGUUUUUACUCGAGUAAUCCAGGAACUGGCGGAAACGUUGAGUUCCGUACCCGGUGAUUGUUGGCCCCUGGAGUUCGCGGUCCUUUCGGCACUGACUGACUCGGCGACCUCCCCCGCACCGCGCAGACCCCUGCAGGACCCUAGCCGCUCACCUGCCGCCCCCGGCUCCAGACUCCGACGACCCAGCGUGGGUCUCCGGGGAUCCAGUGUCUAGAGUUGGGGGGGUCUCGAGGACGAAGGGAAGUUUUUUAAUGCUACACUUUUUGUUUAAGGUUCUUGCCUGGAAACAUUAAAACACACACACACACACACACACACACACACACACACAAAUUUGUAGGCUGGUCUAAAUGUCUCCAGCUCUAUUUCUUAAUUUCUUGUAAAUCAUGAAUCAUAAAGUGUCAUGGCUAUACGGUGAUCCUAUUAGAAUUCCUCACAGCCGUUUAUUUGGGCUUUUUGUGAAAAACUGCAUAUCAUGUUAAAGAAAAAAUGUAAUGAAUUAUUUAAAGAAUCCUUGCAUGUAUAAAAUG